Molecule: ribosomal RNA, 253 nt
Filed under: uncultured bacterium
Lineage: Bacteria
Description: partial 16S ribosomal RNA
Rfam family: Bacterial small subunit ribosomal RNA
Source: RNAcentral
UACGUAGGGUGCAAGCGUUGUCCGGAAUUAUUGGGCGUAAAGAGCGUGUAGGCGGCCAGAUAGGUGGGUUGUGAAAACUGGAGGCUCAACCUUCAGACGUCGACCCAAACCCCCUGGCUAGAGUCCGGAAGAGGAGAGUGGAAUUCCUGGUGUAGCGGUGAAAUGCGCAGAUAUCAGGAAGAACACCCGUGGCGAAGGCGGCUCUCUGGGACGGUACUGACGCUGAGACGCGAAAGCGUGGAGAGCGAACAGG